RNAcentral lists this ribosomal RNA (253 nucleotides) under uncultured bacterium. Its description in RNAcentral is "partial 16S ribosomal RNA". It matches the Rfam family "Bacterial small subunit ribosomal RNA", at positions 524 to 776 of the family's 1533-position model. The record is from RNAcentral.
UACGGGGGGGGCAAGCGUUGUUCGGAAUUACUGGGCGUAAAGGGCUCGUAGGCGGCCAACUAAGUCGGACGUGAAAUCCCUCGGCUUAACCGGGGAACUGCGUCCGAUACUGGAUGGCUUGAGUUCGGGAGAGGGAUGCGGAAUUCCAGGUGUAGCGGUGAAAUGCGUAGAUAUCAAGAGGAACACCUGCGGCGAAGGCGGGUUGCUGGGCUGACACUGACGCUGAGGCGCGAAAGCUAGGGGAGCGAACGGG